Molecule: ribosomal RNA, 404 nt
Filed under: Actinomycetes bacterium
Lineage: Bacteria; Bacillati; Actinomycetota; Actinomycetes
Description: Actinobacteria bacterium partial 16S ribosomal RNA
Rfam family: Bacterial small subunit ribosomal RNA
Source: RNAcentral
UGGGGAAUCUUGCGCAAUGGGCGAAAGCCUGACGCAGCCAUGCCGCGUGAAUGAUGAAGGUCUUAGGAUUGUAAAAUUCUUUCACCGGGGACGAUAAUGACGGUACCCGGAGAAGAAGCCCCGGCUAACUUCGUGCCAGCAGCCGCGGUAAUACGAAGGGGGCUAGCGUUGCUCGGAAUUACUGGGCGUAAAGGGAGCGUAGGCGGACAUUUAAGUCAGGGGUGAAAUCCCGGGGCUCAACCUCGGAAUUGCCUUUGAUACUGGGUGUCUUGAGUAUGAGAGAGGUGUGUGGAACUCCGAGUGUAGGGGUGAAAUUCGUAGAUAUUCGGAAGAACACCAGUGGCGAAGGCGACACACUGGCUCAUUACUGACGCUGAGGCUCGAAAGCGUGGGGAGCAAACAGG